Molecule: ribosomal RNA, 433 nt
Filed under: Sulfitobacter sp. R4-Chit-T25-9
Lineage: Bacteria; Pseudomonadati; Pseudomonadota; Alphaproteobacteria; Rhodobacterales; Roseobacteraceae
Description: bacterial SSU rRNA
Rfam family: Bacterial small subunit ribosomal RNA
Source: RNAcentral
CCGGCUCAGAACGAACGCUGGCGGCAGGCCUAACACAUGCAAGUCGAGCGCAGUCCUUCGGGACCGAGCGGCGGACGGGUUAGUAACGCGUGGGAACAUACCCUUUUCUACGGAAUAGCCUCGGGAAACUGAGAGUAAUACCGUAUAAGCCCUUCGGGGGAAAGAUUUAUCGGGAAAGGAUUGGCCCGCGUUAGAUUAGAUAGUUGGUGGGGUAAUGGCCUACCAAGUCUACGAUCUAUAGCUGGUUUUAGAGGAUGAUCAGCAACACUGGGACUGAGACACGGCCCAGACUCCUACGGGAGGCAGCAGUGGGGAAUCUUAGACAAUGGGCGCAAGCCUGAUCUAGCCAUGCCGCGUGUGUGAUGAAGGUCUUAGGAUCGUAAAGCACUUUCGCCAGGGAUGAUAAUGACAGUACCUGUAAAGAAACCCCGGC